GGUUGCUAUGCUUUAGCGGCUUCCGGCUGCAGGACGCCGAGUACCGGCCCGAGGGGAGAAAUGGGCUUGGUGGGCCCUUUGACCGCCUCGCUGGCCUUUCUCGGGAAACUUCUACCCACCCCUAAUGCUGAAAAGAGAAAUGGAAUAAAAAUCUAAAUGAUGAAGACAAAGACCUGAGAGGACAAUGUUCAAGGGAUAACCUUCCAGAGAGCAGAAUUAAGGUUGAAUCAAGAGGAAUAUUUAUUGUGAUUAUUGUGUCCCUUCUCCACUGUUAUUAUAAGAGAGUGGAGAGGCCAAUUCUAGACUAGGAAGAACCACUUCUAGACUAGAAAGAAGACCCAACCACACCUGGAGACUCUAGAGAUUCAACUGAAUGCAAUGACUGGAUGGGAGCCUACUUGCACCUAUAGAACUCUCUGGAAAAAAGAUCUACUCCCUCAUCUAUAGUUUCACAGAGAUCUCAAGUUUGAGAGAGAGUUUGAGCCAAGUUUGAGCCCUAUCCAACUCUUGAAGCCCUUCCUAGCCAAGAUAACAUUCAGUUGUUAGGGCAUAAAGGUAUGCUCUGCUUUCAGGUCCUGUACUUUCUUUUUUUUAAUAUAUUUUUAUUUAUUUCAGAGAAGAAGGGAGUGGGAGAGAGAUAGAAACAUCAAUGAUGAGAGAGAAUCACUCAUCAGCUGCCCCCUGGCACACCUCCUAUUGGGGAUCCAGCCUGAAACCUGGGCAUGUGCAUUGACUGGGAAUUGAAACAUGACCUCCUGGUUCAUAGGUUGACACUCAACCACUGAGCCAUGCCAGACAGGCUUAAGUAUUUUUUUUUUUUUUUAGUCCUCACCAGAGGAUAUUUUUCCAUUUUUAGAAAAGAGUAGAAGAGAAAGGGAAAGACAGAGGGAAACAUUGAUGUGAGAGAAACAAAUUGAUUGGUUGCCUCCUACAUGCGCCCUGACCAGGGCCCGGGCCAGGGAGAAGCCUGAAACCGAGGUACGUGCCCUUUGACCAGAAUCGAACCUGGACCCUUUGGUCCGCAGGCUGACGCUCUAUCCACUGAGCCAAAGCGCAAGGCCUGCAAUUUAACUUGCAAGAGCCUUCUGGUCUCCAAAGAAAAUGUGGCUCAUCAGAAUCAAAAAUUUUGGCUUUCAAUUGCAUUUUUUAAAUAUCAUGGGGUUUCAAAGUAUAGUUUCACAGUAAACAAAACAAAACAGAACAAAAAAUUAGCAACUAUUUUUCAUUUCUGAUUUUGUAGUCAGUGCUUGAGGUAAUGAGAAUCACACUGACUUUAAAGAUCAUGAGUAAGAAUUAUGUGCAGAAAAGAAAACCACACAAAUGUUUUUAAGAUAUUUUUCCCUAUGGGCUAAACAAUAAGAGCAUUCUCAGGCAAUCUUCAUUGAACUCUUCCACAUUCUAUACUAUAUAGCUAAAGCUUCCAUUUGCACAUCCUUCUGAUAUAACCUAUACCUACAACCAGUAACAUAACUUGUAGGGCCCUGAGCAAAAUGAAAUGCAGAGUUUUGUUCAAAAAUUAUUGAUCUGUAAGAGCAGACCAUUAAACCCAGGGCAGGGACAUGCUCAUGAAGCCACCCCUGCACACACCUUAAAAGCAAGUCAAGCCUGAGUGACCCACACUUUUCAUUCAAUGGAGCUCUAUGUUUCUGUGGCAGGAAGUGCUAUGUGUUCUAAACGCAUUCUUAUUUUAGAGAGACAUUAUAUAUUCCACCCUAUCUUGCAAUCAGGAAUUGCCAUGAGAAGGUUCUAUGUAAGGCCUCACUCUUUAUCUGCAACUCAGACAGAUUAAAAGUAAUUCAGGAGAGAAUUCUGUCAUUUCAGAGAAUAGUGAAGCCACAAAAUAGAAGAGGUCUAGAUUCCUGAAUCAUCAUAUGGAAGACUGCCUGCUAAAUACUACAUUGAACUGUCAAAUGAAGGAGAAAUAAAACCAGUGAAAUUUUGUGGUUUAUUGUAAUGUUUGACAUACCUUGACUAUGUCAGGAGUAACCUAUGUUAAAAUAAAAAAUGACACCAAAAUCUCAAUAUCUUAUAACAAAAAUUUAUUUCUUAUUUAUGAUAUGCCAUCCAGAAGAUUAUACUUAUCAUAGCUACUCAGGGAACUAAGCUGAUGAAACUUCACCAUGACUUAUGCUUCCAUGAUCAUCACAGCAGUGGAAAAAAAUCAUGAUUAUACAUUGUAAGGUUUUUGUGCAUACUGGUAUAUAAUACAUCAUUUCUACUUACACAUCAAAGACCAUAAGUCAAAUGGCCACGCCUAUCUUUAAAAAGAGCAAAGAAGCCCAGCCGAUAGGGCUCAGUCGUUGAGCAUUGACCUAGGAACCAAGAGGUCACAGUUUAAUUCCUGGUCAGGGCACAUGUAGGGGGCAUGCAGGAGGCAGCCCAUGGAUGAUGUUUCUCAUUGAUGUUUCUAUCUCUCCCUCUCCCUUUCUCUCUGUAAAAAUAAAUGAAAAUAAAAUUUUUUUAAAGAGCAAAGAAGUAUAAUCCCAUGUGCCAAAAGGGGGAAUCCAGACAUAUUUUGGAAAUGACAGUCCUGAAUCCCACAUGGUUAUAGACAUUGGUUUUUGGAAGGAGAGUGCUGCCAUACAGAAAGUUAAAAUAUGUUGUAUAGAAUAAGUAGGCAGCAAAAAAACAUUAGUACAGGCUGGUUAGCUGGAGAGCUCUAGUGCGCCUUGAUAAAAUAUUUAGUAAAACUGUCCUCCGUGAGAAGUAGAAGGUAGGCCAUGAGCCUAAUGAGACUCUUAACUGUAUGGGAAGUAGAUAGAGGGAGGGUAAUGGUGUGAAGUGAAAAUCAUUUUGCAAAAAUCAGAUUAAGGGUUUUAACUUUGCUAUCCAAGCCUAUUGCUUCAGAUAGCCUCAAGAGGGGCAUUUGCAAAGAAAUAAAUCAUUCUUGAUAAUUACAUACAGAAAAGAACUAGAAUGUGAAAUUUAGAAUAUGAAAUUAAAAGCAAAUAUAUCAGCCUACUAAGUUUUUAAGGGAAUUGUAUUGUUAAUGAAACCAUGUGCCUGGACUUAAAAAGACUUGGAGCAACCAUCAAGCUCCCAGAGUGUCCCCAGCAGAAAGCCCAGAUAACUUAUCUUUUUGGUUUAUAGGUUGUACCCUGAGGACCCACAUUUGAACCUGAUGGAAAGGCCUGUGCAUCACAUGAAGCUUUGAUUCAUUGACUUCACAACCCUAUCCCUGACAAGUACACUAGACCCAUGAUAGGAAUAACUUUCAUUGGUUUCAGUGAAUGUUUCUUAAUGGUGUAAAUUUUCAAAUUUCAUAUUUGUUAUCUUUAGGGAUUAAAGGGGCCAAGUCAAUACUUGAAAAAUGGGAAUUGUAACAUGGCCUCUUUUCCUUUAAAUUUAUGCUGAGCUACCUUGUUAAAUAAAUUUGUGCUGCCAAUUUUUUAAUGUUCUAUUCUCAUAGCAAUAGGCUGUGAUGUCAGAGGGUUAUCACAAAAUUGAUAAAAAAAAAUAUGCUAGGCUGUGAAGCAGAAAGCUCUGAUUGUUGCAUGUUAUUAAAAUAUCAUGU
Myotis daubentonii (Daubenton's bat) is the source of this 3514-nucleotide long non-coding RNA. RefSeq lists it as uncharacterized. Lineage: Eukaryota; Metazoa; Chordata; Mammalia; Chiroptera; Vespertilionidae. The record is from RefSeq and is a predicted model, not a curated record. The transcript has 4 exons.